Molecule: ribosomal RNA, 253 nt
Filed under: uncultured bacterium
Lineage: Bacteria
Description: partial 16S ribosomal RNA
Rfam family: Bacterial small subunit ribosomal RNA
Source: RNAcentral
UACAGAGGUCCCAAGCGUUGUUCGGAAUCACUGGGCGUAAAGGGUGCGUAGGCGGGUCUUUAAGUCAGGGGGGAAAUCCUGGAGCUCAACUCCAGAACUGCCUUUGAUACUGAGGAUCUUGAGUUCGGGAGAGGUGAGUGGAACUGCGAGUGUAGAGGUGAAAUUCGUAGAUAUUCGCAAGAACACCAGUGGCGAAGGCGGCUCACUGGCCCGAUACUGACGCUGAGGCACGAAAGCGUGGGGAGCAAACAGG